This 103-nucleotide non-coding RNA is filed under the name Rubellimicrobium mesophilum DSM 19309. RNAcentral's name for it is "Rubellimicrobium sp. MSL 20 TPP riboswitch aptamer (THI element)". It matches the Rfam family "TPP riboswitch aptamer (THI element)". Rfam says of the family: Vitamin B(1) in its active form thiamin pyrophosphate (TPP) is an essential coenzyme that is synthesised by coupling of pyrimidine and thiazole moieties in bacteria. RNAcentral also lists the same sequence under 1 other name. The record is from Rfam by way of RNAcentral. Lineage: Bacteria; Pseudomonadati; Pseudomonadota; Alphaproteobacteria; Rhodobacterales; Roseobacteraceae.
CGCGCCACCUCGGGGUGCCCGUCCAGGGCUGAGAUGCGUGAUCCGCGAACCCGUCGAACCUGAACCGGCUAGUACCGGCGGAGGGAAGGUGGCCAAUCGGGGC